AUGGCCAUGCUGCACGCCCCCGCCAGGAGGCCGGCGAACCCGGACACGACCAUUGCGCGCGCGUCGGGCUUGAUGGCGCUGACGUCGAGCAUGAGGGAGGCCGUGGAGACAAGCCCGUCGUUGGCGCCCAGCACCGCCGCGCGCAGCCAGUUGGCGCGCCCGGCGAAGUCGAUGGACGACUCGGAGUUGUCGACGUCGCCGCACAUCACGGCCGGGUUCUCGGCGUCCGCCACCGUGGCCAGCUUGGUGUUGUUCACGGCCAUGGCGUCCGGGAGCUUUUUUUUCGAACCCGGCUUCCCCUUUCCAUUACUUAUCAUAACGGAAAUACAUUCUCAGGAACUGAAACUAGCAGGGCUAAGAGAAAGAGAAAAAGCGAGUUCGGGGCAACACCAGGAAACCCAUUAUCUGCGUCUGUCAUCAGAAACAACAAUCAUGGGGCGAAAACCUGAUGUCACCUAA
Molecule: ribosomal RNA, 459 nt
Filed under: Triticum aestivum (bread wheat)
Lineage: Eukaryota; Viridiplantae; Streptophyta; Magnoliopsida; Poales; Poaceae
Description: partial small subunit ribosomal RNA
Source: RNAcentral